This 130-nucleotide ribosomal RNA is filed under the name Octodon degus (degu). Lineage: Eukaryota; Metazoa; Chordata; Mammalia; Rodentia; Octodontidae. The record is from RNAcentral.
AUCAGUGGCCAUAGCACCCCAAACACACCAAGUUUUGGAAGCUAAGGAGGGUCCAGCCUGGUUAGUAUUUGGAUGGGAGAAGACAGCAUGUGUCAUGGGAACCAAUGAAAGUCCCUGGGCAUGACUAAUA